UGGGGAAUCUUGGACAAUGGGGGCAACCCUGAUCCAGCCAUGCCGCGUGAGUGAUGAAGGCCUUAGGGUCGUAAAGCUCUUUCGCCUGUGAAGAUAAUGACGGUAGCAGGUAAAGAAACCCCGGCUAACUCCGUGCCAGCAGCCGCGGUAAUACGGAGGGGGUUAGCGUUGUUCGGAAUUACUGGGCGUAAAGCGCACGUAGGCGGACCAGAAAGUUGGGGGUGAAAUCCCGGGGGCUCAACCCCGGAACUGCCUCCAAAACUAUUGGUCUAGAGUUCGAGAGAGGUGAGUGGAAUUCCAAGUGUAGAGGUGAAAUUCGUAGAUAUUUGGAGGAACACCAGUGGCGAAGGCGGCUCACUGGCUCGAUACUGACGCUGAGGUGCGAAAGUGUGGGGAGCAAACAGGAUUAGAUACCCUGGUAGUCCACACCGUAAAACGAUGAAUGCCAGUCGUCGGGUAGCAUGCUAUUCGGUGACACACCUAACGGAUUAAGCAUUCCGCCUGGGGA
RNAcentral lists this ribosomal RNA (508 nucleotides) under uncultured bacterium. RNAcentral's name for it is "bacterial SSU rRNA". It matches the Rfam family "Bacterial small subunit ribosomal RNA", at positions 355 to 879 of the family's 1533-position model. The record is from RNAcentral.